This is a non-coding RNA of Nicotiana tabacum (common tobacco), 1278 nucleotides long. The record is from RefSeq and is a predicted model, not a curated record. NCBI's taxonomy places the organism in Eukaryota, Viridiplantae, Streptophyta, Magnoliopsida, Solanales, Solanaceae.
AUUUAUACCAGCCCAAAAAGCUUAAUUCCAUGGCCUCUCCAACCACUUCUCUUUUAGCUCUAGUACUUAUCGUCAUAGCUACAAGCCUACCCGCGGCCCAUGCAUUCACCAUAAAUGGCCAAACUGUGCUUGGAAUACAAGUGAGUGGCACCUUAGCUUGUUCAACAACUGGUAACUUCCCAGGAAAUGGCAUUGUUGGAGUCCUUGCUAAUGUCACUUGCAAUGUUAAUGGAACUCCAACUGUGCUUGGUAUUGCUACAACCAAUCUAAAUGGAGUUUUUGUUGCUCUAAUUACUAACUAAAGUGGCCUUGACCCUAGCACCCUAUCAUGUGUUGUUAGAGAAAUACAGAAAAAGGAGAGACAGAGAAGGAAUGAGAUUUUACAAGAAUGACUAUCCUAAUUAGAAGGAUCAGACUUUAUAAGAACUAUGAAAUUACCAAAGUCCUAGUGUAGAUGUUGGAAAUUUUUUUUUGAAGAAAAUUAUAUAUGGUAUGGUUGAAAUGAAAAAUCAGAUUUAAUCUUAUUUGGAAAAUACAUGAAUUGAAGAAAAAAUCAAACGGUAAUUGGAGGAAACUUGACACAAAAGAUGAUAAGUGAAAAUAUAUCAAGGUAUGAAGUUUCCAAUGUUAGUUGUGUUAGUUUCAACUGAGUGCGUUAAUGAAGGCAGAACACCACUUCAUUGAUGAGAUAGUCUCACUUAAUCUUGAAUCUACUGAAAUGAUAACCAAAAGGGAGAGACAAUUCUCCAUUUGGCUGUCAAGAAUAACCAUUUUGAAGUUUCUGAUGUUGUUGAUGAGAGGAUGCAACAGAAAAUGGAGGAAAUGGAAGAGAGGAUGGAACAAAGAAUGUUGGAAAAUUUGAACGAACAAAAGGAUGCUAUGGAACAACAUAUUACAAUGAACGUCGUCGCACUACUUCAGCGUCUGAACCCAGAAUUGUGACUUGAUGCUGACAUGCUAAGGUUCGUAGAAGCUUCCUAUGCACAACAAGUUGCUGUUCAACUAAACAAUCUACCAUCUGCCGGUAGUACCAAUCAAGGUGGAGUAAAUCAAGAAAUCGAAGAAGAUGAAAGUGAAGAACUAGACCUUGCUUGAGAUGAAUUUUGAAUGGCUAUAGAUGAAUGUUCUAUAGGAAUCUUUUGUUAUCAACCUUUUUGAAACUAAUUACUCUCUUGAAAUGUAUGAAACUUAUGCAUUAGGGGUAGAACAUUUGCUUUAUAUGAAUAUUAUUUGCUUGAUGGAUAAUUUGUAUUAUUAAAAAUUUGAUUUUAUGAUUUA